GGAUCCUUAGCUCAGUGGUAGAGCGUGUUCAGGACGUCUCGAUGUGAGUCGCGUUCCCCCCCGCCACCAGGCUGCCGCCAGGCAGCCACGCGUUCCUCCCGUCGUCCAGGUGAACAAGGUCCUCGGUUCAAUUCCGAGAGGGUCCA
RNAcentral lists this transfer RNA (146 nucleotides) under Hortaea werneckii EXF-2000. RNAcentral's name for it is "tRNA-Und (NNN) (tRNA-Und-NNN-1-1)". It matches the Rfam family "tRNA". Rfam says of the family: Transfer RNA (tRNA) molecules are approximately 80 nucleotides in length. Their secondary structure includes four short double-helical elements and three loops (D, anti-codon, and T loops). Lineage: Eukaryota; Fungi; Ascomycota; Dothideomycetes; Mycosphaerellales; Teratosphaeriaceae. The record is from RNAcentral.